GAAAUGCGAAACGUAUUGUGAACUGCCCUCUUUGAGAAUCAACGAAUUUUUGAACGCACCUUGCACCUGGGGGCAUGCGCCCGCAGGUAUACUUGUUUGAGCAUCGAACAUUGUCGAGCCACACAUGCGCGAUAGCGCGUGUGAGCGAGAAAGUGAUUGUUGGGGAGAAGCGUCGACCCGUCAAUUGAAAGGCAUGGAGGAUGAGCGAGGGCGGGCGUGGAAAUAGAGUCACAUCUGACACGCGUUGCUGGUUGUUCACCCCACAAGUACAAUACAUGCACUUACAUACUCAUACGUGUGUGUUUGUGUAUGUGCAUGUGCAACGAUCUCAAAUCAAGUAGGAAGACCCGCUGAACUUAA
Molecule: unclassified non-coding RNA, 360 nt
Filed under: uncultured fungus
Lineage: Eukaryota; Fungi
Description: sequence contains ITS1
Rfam family: 5.8S ribosomal RNA (bases 1-106)
Source: RNAcentral